Molecule: unclassified non-coding RNA, 314 nt
Filed under: uncultured fungus
Lineage: Eukaryota; Fungi
Description: partial contains small subunit ribosomal RNA, internal transcribed spacer 1, and 5.8S ribosomal RNA
Rfam family: Eukaryotic small subunit ribosomal RNA (bases 1-73)
Source: RNAcentral
UCAAACUUGGUCAUUUAGAGGAAGUAAAAGUCGUAACAAGGUUUCCGUAGGUGAACCUGCGGAAGGAUCAUUAAAAGUAAUAAGUGCUCCAAGCGCUCAUUAUGAAACCCAUCUGUGUAUUUUACCUGUUGCUUCCGUGGGGCGUUGGCUUCGGCCGCCUCCGAUGAGGGUGAGAGCCCAGAGUCGGGGAGUACCCACGGGAGGUAUUAUUAAAACCAUUGCUUUCAAUGAUGUCUGUCUGAAUUGUCUCAAUGAGAAAAGUUAAAACUUUCAACAACGGAUCUCUUGGUUCUCGCAUCGAUGAAGAACGCAGC